RNAcentral lists this unclassified non-coding RNA (911 nucleotides) under Hevea brasiliensis (rubber tree). Lineage: Eukaryota; Viridiplantae; Streptophyta; Magnoliopsida; Malpighiales; Euphorbiaceae. The record is from RNAcentral.
GGCUCUGCAACUUUGUCAAUGGCGUAAGUUUGUAUUUUAACUAGUUUUUUAUGCUUUGGGUUGUUUAAAGAUGUUAUACUUGUUAAAAUCUUGCUUCCUACUAAAGUUUGGUGCUAAGUUGAACCAAAAUAAAUUACGAUAAGUGAAUUAUUGAGUUUCUGAACUUGAAAUUAUAAUUUAUAGCCAAGCCUGAAUUAGUUUUGGAUUGAUUACAUUGUCUGUAUUUGUGAAACCAUGAUCAAGACUUGAAGUUGGAAAUUGUCAAUUAGAUUAAGCUCGUGUGAGCUCCAAUUUUUCAGUUUUUAGAUUAAGCUAUUAAUGGGUAAAGUGAUUGGAUCAACAGUUGCAAAUUUGAUACUAAGCUAGAGCUUAUACAAGCUUGGAAUGUCUAUAACCUUAGAUUGAUUACAUUUAUAUGUGUUUGUGAAACCAUGGUCAAGACUUGAAAUUGGAAAAGUGUCGAUUAGUUUAUGCUCAUGUGAGAUCCAAUUUUUUUGGUUGUUAGAUUAAGCUAUUAGUGGGUAAAGAGAUUGGUCAACAGUUUCAAAUCUGAUACUGAGCUAGAGUUCAUACAAGCUUGGGAUGUUUGUGGCAUUACCCUUGCCUUUCAUGUUCUUUCACUAUUUAAGUUGUGCAUUUAAUUGUAAUCUAACAUGAAAUUGAGCAUUUGGUAUUUUUUGAGUGCAGGGAUUGAGUUUCUUUGCAUAAUUUUUUUGGGUUUACUAUUUAGUUUGUAAGUUUUGCCAUUAUUAACUCUUUGGUCCCUGUAAAUUGGAAGAUAGAUCAUUUAGUCCCUAUAAUUUGCCUCUGUCAACAACUAAGUCAUUCUGUCCAAUUUAAAUGGAAUUUUCUGCAAGUCAAAGCUCCUUUCUAUGGUAUAACAAGGGAAAAUUUUAUACUGCCAAAAUUAC